GAAAAGAAGAAAAACGAAGAAGACGAUCCAGGAGGGAGCAUUUUCAAUGAUCACAUAUGUAUUCAUGAGUUUAUAGAGGAUAAGGACCUUGUAGAAAAGUGUAAUUUCUUUCAUGGCUUCUCAAUUUCUAGGGCAAAUGUGUCCCGCUAUGAAUUGAGGUACCUUGCAUCAAACCAAAACCCUAGAAAUUGAAGAAACUAAUUGGGGCGAUUCAUUGACAGCCCCAUCUGCAAUUCGGGUGUAACUAUUGGCAAUUCA
This 258-nucleotide unclassified non-coding RNA is filed under the name Hevea brasiliensis (rubber tree). The record is from RNAcentral. Lineage: Eukaryota; Viridiplantae; Streptophyta; Magnoliopsida; Malpighiales; Euphorbiaceae.